GACGAACGCUGGCGGCGUGCUUAAAACAUGCAAGUCGAACGGACUUCUCAUGAAGCUUGCGAUUGAGAAGUUAGUGGCGGACGGGUGAGUAACGCGUGGGCAACCUGCCCCUGAGCCCGGGAUAACAGUUCGAAAGGACUGCUAAGACCGGAUAUACUUGCGGGGAAGCAUUUCACUGCAAGGAAAGGGAACGCUCAGGGAUGGGCCCGCGUCCCAUUAGCUAGUUGGUGAAGUAACGGCCCACCAAGGCGACGAUGGGUAGCCGGCCUGAGAGGGUGAACGGCCACACUGGGACUGAGACACGGCCCAGACUCCUACGGGAGGCAGCAGUUGGGAAUCUUCGGCAAUGGGCGCAAGCCUGACCGAGCAACGCCGCGUGAGUGAUGAAGGUUUUCGGAUUGUAAAGCUCUGUCUUCCGGGACGAUAAUGACGGUACCGGAGGAGGAAGCCGCGGCUAACUACGUG
RNAcentral lists this ribosomal RNA (465 nucleotides) under uncultured bacterium. RNAcentral describes it as "bacterial SSU rRNA". It matches the Rfam family "Bacterial small subunit ribosomal RNA", at positions 28 to 507 of the family's 1533-position model. The record is from RNAcentral.